RNA transcript from Callorhinus ursinus (northern fur seal), 1957 nucleotides. It is a transcript of the gene named DNA replication fork stabilization factor DONSON, with no coding region annotated. NCBI's taxonomy places the organism in Eukaryota, Metazoa, Chordata, Mammalia, Carnivora, Otariidae. The record is from RefSeq and is a predicted model, not a curated record.
GGGGUCGGCGCGCGCGGGAAGCGCCAGCGGGGAGGCCGGCCGACCCCUCUGCGUGAGCCGCGCGUUAUGGCCCUAUCGGUGCCUGGCUACUCGCCCAGUUUCAGGAAGCCUCCCGAGACUUUGCGGCUCCGACGGAAAAGGGCCCGGAGCCGGGGGGCGGCCGCUUCACCCGGCGAGCAGCCCGAGCCGGCGCCCCGCCGCGCCGCUUUGGCGGCCGGGCUGCUCCUCCGCCCCUUCCCGGCGGCGGCGGCGGCGGCUGUGGGCAGAGGCGGCGGCGGCCCGGCCGCGGCCCGCAGGAACCCCUUCGCCCGCCUGGACAACCGGCCUUCGGCCACCGCGGAGCCCCCCGACGGGCCGCCCCGCGGCCAGCAGGAGGCGCAGGGCCCGUUUUUAGAUUCUAAUCAGGAAAAUGAUUUGCUGUGGGAAGAGAAGUUUCCUGAAAGAACAACCGUUACUGAAUUACUCCAGACUCCACAAGGAUCAGUCUCUGAAUCUGAUAUUCCAUCCUCAGAAAGUACUGAGUUACCUGCAGACUGGAGUAUUAAAACUCGACUCCUUUUCACUUCUUCUCAACCCUUUACCUGGGCAGAUCAUUUGAAAGCACAGGAAGAGGCUCACGGUGUCAUCCAGCAUUGUAGGGCAACAGAAGUUACUUUGCCUCAAAGUAUACAGGAUCCCAGGCUCUCCACUGAGCUCCGUUGUGCCUUCCAGCAGAGCCUUAUCUAUUGGCUCCAGCCUGCCUUUCCUUGGCUACCACUGUUCCCUCGCAUUGGAGCUGAUAGAAAAAUGUCUGGAAAGAUAAGCCCUUGGUCAAAUGAUGAAACCUUGCAACACAUUUUAAUGAGUGACUGGUCUGUGAGCUUCACUUCUCUCUAUAAUCUGCUGAAGACAAAACUUUGCCCAUAUUUCUACGUUUGUACCUAUCAGUUUACUAUCCUGUUCCGCGCAGCAGGAUUAGCUGGAAAUGAUGUAAUCACAGCUCUCAUAUCUCCUACAACUAGAGGCAUAAGAGAAGCUAUGAAAAAUGAAGGUAUUGAAUUUUCUCUGCCAUUAAUAAAAGAAAAUGGCCAUGGGAAGAAAAAGGCUUCCGGAACAAGCCAAGGACAGGGAGAGGAACAAGUAAUCAGUGAUGAGGAUGAAGAUGAAAGUUUUUCCUGGCUGGAAGAGAUGGGUGUGCAAGAUAAAAUUAAAAAACCAGACAUACUCUCUAUCAAGCUACGUAAAGAGAAACAUGAAGUGCAAAUGGAUCACAGACCUGAGUCUGUUGUGUUGGUGAAGGGAAUGAAUACCCUUACGUUGCUGAAUUUUUUGAUCAACUCUAAGAGUUUAAUUGCUAGUUCAGGUCCCCAGGCAGGACUUCCACCAACCCUCUUAUCGCCUGUAGCUUUCCGAGGUGCCACAAUGCAAAUGCUUAAGGCACGAAGUGUAAACGUGAAAACACAAGCUGUUUCUGGAUACAAAGAUCAAUUUAGUUUGGAGAUUACAGGUCCUGUCAUGCCUCAUUCUCUACAUUCUGUAACCAUGCUACUCAGAUCUUCACAAAAGGGGUCAUUUUCUGCUGGACUGUAUACACAUGAGCCAACUGCCGUAUUUAAUACCUGCCUGCCAGUGAAUAAAGUACUGGAUAAGGAGACUGUUCAUGAGGAGCUUGCCAACUGUGGGUUGCAUCCUAAGACUCUGGACCAACUCAGUCAAACACCAAUACUGGGAAAAUCAUCUUUAAGGCAUGUGGAAAUGAGUGACUACGUUUAUAAUUGGAGAUCCUGAACACCAAACUUUGUAAAUUAUAUGCUGGGGAGAAAGCAUGCCAAUGAUGUGUGACUAGACAUUAAGUUCAACAAGGUGCUCUGAUGGAAGGAGGCAGCUGUGGAGGCUUACUAAGUGAGCUGCAAGUUCAUGUCAAAACCUUAUUACCAGAUAGUAAUUAAUUUUCUAUUUGUAUUUUUAAAUGUGAAGA